AUGACCUCCAAGUUUAAGAUGUCCAUGAUGGGAGAGUUGAACUUCUUUCUCGGGUUCGAGGUCAAGCAACGAAGAGAAGGAACCUUCAUCAACCAAUCCAAAUACACUCAAGAUAUGCUCAAGAGAUUCAAGCUUAAUGAUGUCAAGUCGGCUUCCACUCCAAUGCCCGUCAAAUGCCAACUUGACUUAGAUCCCAAUGGUAAAGCGGUGUAUAAAAAGGUAUAUCGCUCCAUGAUUGGCUCCUUGCUUUACCUUUGUGCAUCUAGACCGGAUAUCAUGUUGAGUGUGGGAAUUUGUGCAUGGUUUCAAGCCGCACCUAAGGAAAGCCACUUUGUGGUGGUCAAGUGA
Molecule: ribosomal RNA, 348 nt
Filed under: Triticum aestivum (bread wheat)
Lineage: Eukaryota; Viridiplantae; Streptophyta; Magnoliopsida; Poales; Poaceae
Description: partial small subunit ribosomal RNA
Source: RNAcentral